AUGCAUGAGUAUGAUCGUCUUUAUAGAGCUUCACCUAAACCAGCUAGGCUUAGGUUGUUUUUGUUUCCGGCCAAUACGCCGGCGACUGUUGGGAGUGGGGUGUCGCAGAGCCGGAGUUUUGGUUCGGAGGAUUCCAAAUCGGAGAAGGAUAGGUUUGUCGAUGCGUUGAAUUCUGGUCCGAUUCAGGCGUCUCCGGCUGCGGGGGCUGUUGCACAGCAGGUUGGAAACGCGGAUUUUCUGUUUGGUUCAGAGAAAGGGAUGGUACCGCCACAUGUGAAAUUGAGAGAUCCGAACUCUGAGCAAGUUGUUAAGGAACCAGAGAUGCCGGUUCAUGGAGUGGAUGAUAGGAUGAUGGGGACUGAUCCGAUCCAGAAGCACAUUCAGGAUCUGCAGAGAUUGCAUCUAGAAGAGCAACAAAAUUUGUAUCGUCGGAAAAGCGACGAUAAUCUGACAGCGGCUUUCCCCGGAGGUGAUUAUUAUGUUCAGAGAGGACCGGAGAAAAUAGCUUCUCCUACCGUGCCGGGUACAGUACCUGCACAGGUUGGCUAUUGGCAGGAAAAACAAGUUCCCGGAGGAGUACUGCCGGCGAGCAGUCUCGGUAUGGAACAACCAGUUUACAUGAUUCAUCAAGCACCGGCCGGAGCAUAUCAACCACACCAGCACCAACACCAACACCCACAAUUUGUCAGGCCAAUGGCCGGACCACCGGGUCAAGGGUACUACGCCGUACAGAGGAUGCCACAGGAGCCUUACAGGGAUCAACCAGUUUACAAUGUCAUGCCUAGUUUACCACAAGCAGUACCGACAGUUGCAGCGGCACCACCAACUUUACAAUCUCAGGUACCUCCAAAGGUGGCUGGUUAUUCGGAAGGAUAUGGCAUGGUAAGACCCGCAACUACCAUGGGAGUUGGUGUAGCAGAUGCAGGUGGGUACACACAGAUGGCGUACGAUGGUGGAGUAGGAAGGCAGAUGUACUAUCCUCCCCAAGGUGGUGUCAUAGCGCCACCACAACAACAACCGCAGUACCACGCAAUGCCGCCACAAGCUGUUGUUGGCUCCGAUAUGAGACCUCAAGAAGCUGCUAAAGUCGUACCUGUGAAACCUACACAAACAUCAGUGUGAUUGAUCUGUGCUUUCCUAUAAAAAUGAUCAAAAUAAUAAAAUAAAAGUAGUAGGGGAGUUUAUAGUAUAAUCCUGUUUAUCUUGAGAAGAUUUAUGUGCCAUAUCGUGUACAUUUUGAGUGGAGAUUGAUUUCUAUGCUUCUUCAAGAUUAUAUCUUCCUUUAUAUCAUGCAAUGCA
RNAcentral lists this unclassified non-coding RNA (1299 nucleotides) under Hevea brasiliensis (rubber tree). Lineage: Eukaryota; Viridiplantae; Streptophyta; Magnoliopsida; Malpighiales; Euphorbiaceae. The record is from RNAcentral.